UGUAGCAGUCGUGUCGUGUGUGCUGAGCUCAUUUUGCUGCCGAUGACUAAGAAGAUGCCGUAGAAGGCGAAUUGCGAAGACGUCCGAAGGAAACUGUCGUUCAGUAACCAGUGAUUUUGCUUCACCGAGGUGACGAGUUCAACACAACGUCUUAGGGGCCUUCCAGUGUUGAAGUGGCGCAAAACUGUUUCGUGUGUGUGUGUGAUCCAGGCACUGACAUGACAGAAAUAGCUGAAAACAGGUGCAGAACAUUCGUAUGACGUCAACAAGGGGAGAAGAAACUGGUGAGAACUA
Ornithodoros turicata is the source of this 294-nucleotide long non-coding RNA. RefSeq lists it as uncharacterized. The transcript is spliced from 3 exons. The record is from RefSeq and is a predicted model, not a curated record. Lineage: Eukaryota; Metazoa; Arthropoda; Arachnida; Ixodida; Argasidae.